Molecule: ribosomal RNA, 819 nt
Filed under: Streptomyces sp.
Lineage: Bacteria; Bacillati; Actinomycetota; Actinomycetes; Kitasatosporales; Streptomycetaceae
Description: bacterial SSU rRNA
Rfam family: Bacterial small subunit ribosomal RNA
Source: RNAcentral
AACGAUGAAGCCCUUCGGGGUGGAUUAGUGGCGAACGGGUGAGUAACACGUGGGCAAUCUGCCCUUCACUCUGGGACAAGCCCUGGAAACGGGGUCUAAUACCGGAUAACACUUCCGUCCUCCUGGACGGUGGUUAAAAGCUCCGGCGGUGAAGGAUGAGCCCGCGGCCUAUCAGCUUGUUGGUGAGGUAAUGGCUCACCAAGGCGACGACGGGUAGCCGGCCUGAGAGGGCGACCGGCCACACUGGGACUGAGACACGGCCCAGACUCCUACGGGAGGCAGCAGUGGGGAAUAUUGCACAAUGGGCGAAAGCCUGAUGCAGCGACGCCGCGUGAGGGAUGACGGCCUUCGGGUUGUAAACCUCUUUCAGCAGGGAAGAAGCGAAAGUGACGGUACCUGCAGAAGAAGCGCCGGCUAACUACGUGCCAGCAGCCGCGGUAAUACGUAGGGCGCAAGCGUUGUCCGGAAUUAUUGGGCGUAAAGAGCUCGUAGGCGGCUUGUCACGUCGGUUGUGAAAGCCCGGGGCUUAACCCCGGGUCUGCAGUCGAUACGGGCAGGCUAGAGUGUGGUAGGGGAGAUCGGAAUUCCUGGUGUAGCGGUGAAAUGCGCAGAUAUCAGGAGGAACACCGGUGGCGAAGGCGGAUCUCUGGGCCAUUACUGACGCUGAGGAGCGAAAGCGUGGGGAGCGAACAGGAUUAGAUACCCUGGUAGUCCACGCCGUAAACGGUGGGAACUAGGUGUUGGCGACAUUCCACGUCGUCGGUGCCGCAGCUAACGCAUUAAGUUCCCCGCCUGGGGAGUACGGCCGCAAGGCUAAAA